CCACUUGCAGGGGUGACAGCGCCUGAGGGGCCUACCGGGGCUCAUCACCCACGGGUGACCAUGUGCGCAGGGUCCCGCUAAUCAGGGACCAGACAGCGGAAGGGGAGCUUCCGCCUUGAGCCUGCAUCAUUCAGCAAGCUACUGUGUGAAAUAUUAGAAGAGACAAAGUAUGAUAAAGGACUACUCCAAAGGAAUUGAUCAUUACUUAUCUGAUCAAACAGAGGUGGCACUGUACGCAGUCUGCUGUAUCACUCCAGGUGCUAAAUAGUAGAAAGACGGAGCUUAAAGCUGGAAGAGACAUUAAACAUCAUGUACCCAUGCUGAGGAAGAAUCCAUGGCAAAAGCAGAAUUGGCACUCUGAUCUCCUAUCCACCCAGUCCAAAGUUUUUGCCUUGUGCCACAAAGCCUUAUUUCAAGCAUAUGUGUGCUCGCCAAACAUUUAAAGAUGCCAUGUACUUUCAUUUCCAUUCUGUUUUUAUGCCUUACUAUUUGCUUAGUAUUGUGGCAGCCUAGAAGAGUUGUUUUAAGCAGGGCAUUAGUAUCACAAACUUAGAUUUGAAUGCUGGCUUUGCUAUUCACUAGCUGUGUGAUCUCUCACCUUCAAAAUAUAAUCUCAUCUCCAGCCACAGUCCUGUGGACACAUGUGAAAUCAUCAAAACAGAAACCAAAUCUGACACUUCUCACCACCCAUUGUUAUCAGCCUGCGCCAAACCACCAUCCUCUCUCUCCUGCACCGCUGCAACAGGCUCCUGACAGGUCACCUGCUUCUGUUCUUAUUCCUCUGCAGCCUAUUCUCCACUCAGCAGCCAAAGUAUGCUUUUCAAACUGUCAAUCAGAUCAGAGCACUGUCCUGCACAAAUCCUCUAGUGGCUUCCCCUCCCAUUUAGCAGACCUCUGAGUUUGCUCUUGCUCACCCUGCACCAGCCACCCUGAUCAGCUUACAGAGUGCUUCCUAUCAUUAUUCUCUAUCACUACACAAUAUUAUUUCCCUUGGAACAGGUACCACAGUUUGUAAUUGUGUGUUUGUUUACUUUUUCUUGCAUAUUUUUUUCCUCUAAACUGUAAA
Molecule: long non-coding RNA, 1066 nt
Organism: Manis javanica (Malayan pangolin)
Lineage: Eukaryota; Metazoa; Chordata; Mammalia; Pholidota; Manidae
Source: RefSeq, a predicted model, not a curated record